Molecule: ribosomal RNA, 452 nt
Filed under: Ferrissia nipponica
Lineage: Eukaryota; Metazoa; Mollusca; Gastropoda; Ancylidae
Description: partial 16S ribosomal RNA
Rfam family: Bacterial large subunit ribosomal RNA (bases 1-168)
Source: RNAcentral
CUCGCCUGUUUUAUCAAAAACAUAGUUAAAAGAAAAGAUUUUUAAUUAUUCCUGCCCAGUGUAUAUUUAUAAAUGGCCGCAGUACUUUGACUGUGCUAAGGUAGCAUAAUCAAUUGGCUUUUAAUUUGAGUCUGGAAUGAAAGGAUUUAUGGGGAGACGCUGUUUCAAAUAUAUAGUAUUAAAUUUAUUUAAAAAGUGAAAAUACUUUUUUAUAGAAAAAAGACGAGAAGACCCUAAGAAUUUUUAGAAAAAUAUAUUAAUUUUUUUUUCUUUUUGUUGGGGCGACAAUUAAGCAAUAGCAUUAACCUUAAUUAUUUAUUUAAUCGGUUAUUUCAGUAAAAAUUAAAUUACCUUAGGGAUAACAGCAUAAUUUUUAAAAGUUUGUGACCUCGAUGUUGGACUAGGAACUUUAUAACUAGCAGUAAAAAGAGAUUGUCCGUUCUAAAAAUAUU